Long non-coding RNA from Gossypium raimondii (Peruvian cotton), 2248 nucleotides. RefSeq lists it as uncharacterized. NCBI's taxonomy places the organism in Eukaryota, Viridiplantae, Streptophyta, Magnoliopsida, Malvales, Malvaceae. The transcript is spliced from 8 exons. The record is from RefSeq and is a predicted model, not a curated record.
UCCCCCUUUCUCCCCAGCAGAGGGUCGUCGUUCAUUUCCCCAGCAGCCCUAAGUUCCCCAACCUUUUAGAUUUUUAGAAAAUCCCCCCCGAAAUCCCUAAGUUCCACCCGAAAUCAGCAGCCCAAGUACUUUCCCGAAAUCGGUAGCCUUGGAAUCGCCAUUUUAGAGUUUUGGAUAAGAAAGCUGGGUCUUUGGCCGCUUUGCUGUGCUUAGCUUGCUGGGUUGGAGCUACUUUCAUCGCUGCAAAACUUGCCUAUUCUCUGGCCUGGAAGACUUCAAGAAUUAAGAAAUGGAUCGGUUUUAGAUGAAUUUGUCAAGGGUAAGCAACGGUUAUCGGAAUGGAGUACAAACUUUUCUAGAUUUUGCAUUUCAAUAUGCAAGCCAAGAGAACAUGAUCCUUUGCCCAUGUAAGAAGUGUGUCGACAUUAACUAGCAUUAUUGUGAAGUUGUAUACGAGCAUCUAAUAGUUGAUGGGUUUGUUCGGGGUUAUAAAAAAUAGCUUUUUCAUGGAGAAUGCACGCCUAGUACUUCCUCUUCAACGAUGGAUGUAUAUUAUCCUGAUACUGCUUACCAUCAGUCUGUUAGAGGGAAUGACAUGGAAGGUAUGUUGCGGGAUGCAUUUAAUAUGCACAAUCAUGGUUUGCAGUCGUUCCCAGCCGACUUUGUGGCAUCUGAUGAUUGUAAUCUUGGUGGAAAUGCUUUUACCUAACCGGGAAGAAGUGUACCUCAUGAAGAGUCGAAUGGAGAGGCGACGAAGUUCUACGCGCUACUUAUGAUAUAAAAUGCCUAGAAGAAAAUUGCGAAAUCUAAGCAUUUUUCAAAAUGCUCCAAACUCGGAAGAAACAAAUAGUGAACAACAGACUGCUAUUGGAUCUUAGAAUGUUCCGAUUACACCUGACGAACCUAUAAAGUUCAAACUGAAAGUAGUGGGACGCGCAGAGGUCAAGGACGUACGCUACUUAAAGAUUUAUACGAGUUAGAUUCAGUCGAGCGUGUCAAAGUAUGUAGAAACAGUUUUGGUCAACUUGGUGGAUCAGAAGCUCGACUUUUAGUAGGAUAUUUGGGCAUUAUAGCACGAAAUGCAAAUAUGUUACCUAUCAACUACGAGUCAUGGCAUCAAAUGUCUGAUAGUAACAAAAAUCAAGCUCUCGAUAAUAUUAAGGCAAGGUUUGCUUUAGAGGUCUCGGAUACUUAUGUAAAGAAGGCAUUGGGAAAAAUAUGGAGAGACCAUAAAAGUACUUUAAAGAAAUAUUAUUUUAAGACAAAAACAACCCUCGAAGAGAAAUUGCAAAAUGUCCCGCCGGGAAUGCUGAGGUACCAAUAGGAAGAUAUGGUUAGAUUUUGGAAUUUAAAGAAAGGAAAGGAUCAUGAACGAGUUGGAAAAAGCAGCAGACAAAAACAAAAAUUCACUCACACUGUUGGGUCGAAAAGUUUUGCUUGUGUAGCUGAGGCCGAGGUAUUUUGAAUUUAUUAAUAGUGUCAAAUAUUUAUUACUUUCCAUUAAAUAAUAUUUUUACUAUUAUAUUGUAAGAACUGUUGUCCGGUCAAAAAGUUAGACACCUUCAGCUUUUUGACAUUACACAUAAGAAGAAAGAUGGAUCUCCUAUGACUCCUAAAGCUGCAGAAAUUAUGGAGAAAUUAAAGGAUAAAAAGGCGGAGUACGAAGCGAUUGCUUCGAGUGAUAGUUCUGUUCAUCUUGACGACAUUGAUAACAGGAUUAUUACUGAAGUUUUGGGUACUGAAAGGUAUGUUCAAGUUCGAUUUCAAGGAUCUUUUGCUAACCCAACCCAAUAGUUUGGAUUCAGCUCGCAGCAAUACAUGCUUUCGGGGAGUUAGGCUCAAGUUGAAGUUCAGAGGUUAAGAGACCAGAUGGCUCAGAUGCAAGCGACCACAGUUGAGUAAAUUACUCAACUUAAAGCGGAGGCAGCAUCGAGAGAAGCUGAGGUUCAAAGAAAAUAUGAAGAACUCCAGCUACAACUUAAAGUAGAUGCAGCAGCGAGGGAAGCAGAGGCAGCAGCGAGAGCAGCAGAGGCAACAGCGAGAGCAACAGAGCAGAGGAGAAAGUACGACGAACUCCAACAGUAGUUUCAGAAUAUGAUGAAGAUAUUUUAGCAGUCGCAACAUCCGUUAUCUUAGACUAUCGUAUAAAUAUUUUUAUCAUUUUAACUUUUAACAUUAUUGUAAGAAUAAUAUGAUUUAUAUUUCAUUUAUUGAUAUUUAUAUUAUAUAUCAUUCGUUUAAUUUGAAA